UGCCUGCUUUGUGGGACCUUUGAAUUUGGCCUUUUGGAGAGAAGUUGUUUUUACAUCCACGUUCCCAUCGCUGAGUGCAUUCAUCCUGGAGACCUUCAUUCACUGAGCUUGUGACUUAAAUCCUACCUCCCUUUCUUCCCACAAGGUUCAGGAUAUAGUUGAUCAGACGCUAUUAGAUCCCUGUAUCUUGUGCCAUCCGUGGAUGUCGUGGCCGUCAGUCCUGCGAUUGAGAAUGAUAAUGCAGAUACAGCCAGAGGUACUCCUGCAACUAAAAAAAAAGAGAGAGAGAAAGAAAACAAAGCCUUUUUUCUACUUUGAAGUU
Physeter macrocephalus (sperm whale) is the source of this 322-nucleotide long non-coding RNA. RefSeq lists it as uncharacterized. NCBI's taxonomy places the organism in Eukaryota, Metazoa, Chordata, Mammalia, Artiodactyla, Physeteridae. The record is from RefSeq and is a predicted model, not a curated record. The transcript is spliced from 4 exons.